AGUGGCGAACGGGUGCGUAACGCGUAUGCAACCUACCUUCAUCAGGGGGAUAGCCCGGAGAAAUUCGGAUUAACACCGCAUAAAAACACAGUACGGCAUCGUACAAUGUUCAAAUAUUAAUAGGAUGAAGAUGGGCAUGCGUGUCAUUAGCUAGUUGGUAAGGUAACGGCUUACCAAGGCGACGAUGACUAGGGGAUCUGAGAGGAUGACCCCCCACACUGGUACUGAGACACGGACCAGACUCCUACGGGAGGCAGCAGUAAGGAAUAUUGGUCAAUGGAGGCAACUCUGAACCAGCCAUGCCGCGUGCAGGAAGACUGCCCUAUGGGUUGUAAACUGCUUUUAUACGGGAAUAAACCUAUCUACGAGUAGAUAGCUGAAUGUACUGUAAGAAUAAGGAUCGGCUAACUCCGUGCCAGCAGCCGCGGUAAUACGGAGGAUCCAAGCGUUAUCCGGAUUUAUUGGGUUUAAAGGGAGCGUAGGCGGCCGUUUAAGUCAGAGGUGAAAACUUGCAGCUCAACUGUAAGCUUGCCUUUGAUACUGAAUGGCUUGAAUGAACUUGAGGUAGGCGGAAUGUGACAAGUAGCGGUGAAAUGCAUAGAUAUGUCACAGAACACCAAUUGCGAAGGCAGCUUACUAAGGUUUAAUUGACGCUGAGGCUCGAAAGCGUGGGGAUCAAACAGGAUUAGAUACCCUGGUAGUCCACGCCCUAAACGAUGAUAACUCGAUGUUGGCGAUAUACAGUCAGCGUCCAAGCGAAAGCGUUAAGUUAUCCACCUGGGGAGUACGCCCGCAAGGGUGAAACUCAAAGGAAUUGACGGGGGCCCGCACAAGCGGAGGAGCAUGUGGUU
RNAcentral lists this ribosomal RNA (851 nucleotides) under Pedobacter glucosidilyticus. RNAcentral's name for it is "bacterial SSU rRNA". It matches the Rfam family "Bacterial small subunit ribosomal RNA", at positions 94 to 946 of the family's 1533-position model. The record is from RNAcentral. Lineage: Bacteria; Pseudomonadati; Bacteroidota; Sphingobacteriia; Sphingobacteriales; Sphingobacteriaceae.